GAUGAACGCUGGCGGCGUGCCUAAUACAUGCAAGUCGAGCGAACAGACGAGGAGCUUGCUCCUCUGACGUUAGCGGCGGACGGGUGAGUAACACGUGGAUAACCUACCUAUAAGACUGGGAUAACUUCGGGAAACCGGAGCUAAUACCGGAUAAUAUAUUGAACCGCUUGGUUCAAUAGUGAAAGACGGUUUUGCUGUCACUUAUAGAUGGAUCCGCGCCGCAUUAGCUAGUUGGUAAGGUAACGGCUUACCAAGGCAACGAUGCGUAGCCGACCUGAGAGGGUGAUCGGCCACACUGGAACUGAGACACGGUCCAGACUCCUACGGGAGGCAGCAGUAGGGAAUCGUCCGCAAUGGGCGAAAGCCUGACGGAGCAACGCCGCGUGAGUGAUGAAGGUCUUCGGAUCGUAAAACUCUGUUAUUAGGGAAGAACAAAUGUGUAAGUAACUAUGCACGUCUUGACGGUACCUAAUCAGAAAGCCACGGCUAACUACGUG
RNAcentral lists this ribosomal RNA (497 nucleotides) under uncultured bacterium. RNAcentral describes it as "partial 16S ribosomal RNA". It matches the Rfam family "Bacterial small subunit ribosomal RNA", at positions 28 to 507 of the family's 1533-position model. The record is from RNAcentral.